Molecule: long non-coding RNA, 217 nt
Filed under: Capsicum annuum
Lineage: Eukaryota; Viridiplantae; Streptophyta; Magnoliopsida; Solanales; Solanaceae
Description: long non-coding RNA (CANN_LNC002210)
Source: RNAcentral
GAUGGUGCUGCUGAAAUUUCUGAAGUUGUUUCCAAAUAUCUGAAUAGACCAGCCUGCUUGGACCGACCACUCAACAAGCUUAAACAUGUGACCUUUAGCUUCGUGUGGGCUUCAGAAAGUGGAUUGGCUUUCACAAAAUUAUUUCUCUCUCGCGCUCCACCUUUGGUAAGGAUUCUCACGCAUGGUUACAAAAGCAGUGGUUGCGAGGAAGAGUUGC